This 966-nucleotide long non-coding RNA is filed under the name Phasianus colchicus (ring-necked pheasant). Its description in RNAcentral is "lncRNA (ENSPCLG00000002374.1)". The record is from RNAcentral. Lineage: Eukaryota; Metazoa; Chordata; Aves; Galliformes; Phasianidae.
CCCAUAUGGCCUUGUUUAGAACUUGCUUUGGGGUUUGAAAAACUGCAUUUAUACAUAAUUAGCUGGUGUAUUCCUGGUGUAGUGCUGUUAGAGGCAGCAACGUGGCACUAGGCAGGACCCAGCAGGCUGGCUUGUCAAGGCACUGGAGGCAAGAUAGUCUUGUUAGCACCAAGCUCUGUCUGGUUAGCCAUUUAAUGAACCAUAUUGUCCUAGGCAGACAUACCCUUUUGUCAGUAGGAUAAGGAACUAAGCUUAAUUUUGAAUAGUUUUUUUUAAGGUUUGAUAUUUUUACUGGAAAAAUACAAGUGUAAGCAGCCUUGCCUGAUGCUGCUUCUGUUUCCAUUGCUCAAAGAAUGCAACUGGCCUGUUUGCAAUUUCUGCUUCAGCUUAAAGCCAACAUGAACACAUUUUUGAGGAUUUAUGAUGCUGUGUUAAGCUAAGCCUUCUGACAUAAUCACGUAAUUAAAUAUCUAGUUCUUUCAUGGAGCUGUAAUUAAAUAUUGGGCCUCCCUGAGGAGCCAGAAGAGAAGGAAAACACGGAAGGGGAGUAAUUGCCAGUGAGUCACCCUGAGGGGGGAAAUCCAGGCCCUGAGUCUCAGCCCAGGGAUUUCUCACAGGGCUGGUGAGGGGGUGGGAAGACUCGGGGUGACGAGGUUAGGUCGGUGGCUGCGGGGUGAUGUGGGCCUCGGGGAGCCCAGGCAGGUGAUGGCUGGCUCACAGCCACGCAGUGCCAGAAUCCGAAAGAACAAGUGAAAAGUCCAUGCAGAUACUGAAAUCCUGUCCUCAUCAAGCACUUCAAAUAAUGAUCCAGGCAUAGCAUCUUUGUGUUGACCUCCUAAAGCAUUGGGAGCAGCAUUUGAGAAUGUUAUUCUACUUAACAGAUUUGAAAAUGAAUUAAAAGUUAAAUGCUUUAUAUUGAGAAAUAUCUAAGUACAUUUCAAAUUAGAGUAAGCAUCAUUAUUGUCC